This 429-nucleotide ribosomal RNA is filed under the name Verrucomicrobiota bacterium. RNAcentral describes it as "Verrucomicrobia bacterium partial 16S ribosomal RNA". It matches the Rfam family "Bacterial small subunit ribosomal RNA", at positions 355 to 776 of the family's 1533-position model. Lineage: Bacteria; Pseudomonadati; Verrucomicrobiota. The record is from RNAcentral.
UAGGGAAUCUUCGGCAAUGGGGGGAACCCUGACCGAGCAACGCCGCGUGAGUGAAGAAGGUUUUCGGAUCGUAAAGCUCUGUUGUUAAGGAAGAACGAGUGUGAGAAUGGAAAGUUCAUGCUGUGACGGUACUUAACCAGAAAGGGACGGCUAACUACGUGCCAGCAGCCGCGGUAAUACGUAGGUCCCGAGCGUUGUCCGGAGUUAUUGGGCGUAAAGCGCGCGCAGGGGGUUAGAAAAGUCUGAAGUGAAAGGCAGUGGCUCAACCAUUGUAGGCUUUGGAAACUGUUGAACGUGAGUGCAGAAGGGGAGGGUGGAAUUCCAUGUGUAGCGGUGAAAAGCGUAAAUAUAAGGAGGGACAACGGUGGCGAAAGCGGCACUCUGGUCUGUAACUGACGCUGAGGAUCGAAAGCGGGGGGAGCGAACAGG